Brachypodium distachyon (stiff brome) is the source of this 130-nucleotide non-coding RNA. Lineage: Eukaryota; Viridiplantae; Streptophyta; Magnoliopsida; Poales; Poaceae. The record is from Rfam.
CAUAUACUUCCUCCGUCCGAAAAUAAGUGACUCGAAUUUGUCUAGAUUCGCAUGCAUGUAUACACUAAAACACGUCUAGAUACAUACGGACAAAUCCGAGUCACUUAUUUCUGGACGGAGGGAGUAUAAA